AACAGAAGUAUUAGCUCGGAACUCAUCAGUGUUGAAGUUGAAUCACCCAACGCUCCUGACCUGACAUUGACUGUCUUGCCCGGAAUUGUAAGAGUUGCAGUUGGAAAACAACCCCAGAACUUUGGAAAAAAGAAGUCACACUUAAAAUGGAGAAAAUGGGUUGCAAUAUUCCAGAAGAUGAUCAAGCCAAGUCGAUAGUCCUGCACAAGUCUCUUCAGGCGGUUGGAGAGGAACCGACGCUUCUCGAAGAUACCUGCCUCUUCCAUCAGCAACAUCUCAAUCUGAUCCUUGCGCUGCAGCAACAGGAGCAUUUUACAUUGUAGCUUGUCUGCCAGCUCCUGCAGCAGGUGAAAGUUAAUGGCCAUUGGCACUAUAUCAGCCAGUCGGUUCAAAGCAAUCUGAAAUAUAAAGUGGAUCCACCGUCAACCUUCUGCAAGUCUUUGCUGCAGGUGAGGACUGAGGCUUUUAAAGAUUGGAUUUUUAGCUUUAUUUGUCACAUGUGCAUGGAAACAUCAAAACAUGUAGUGAAAUGCCUGCAGUCCAAGGAUUGUGCUGGGGGCAGUCUCAAGUGUGGCCUUGCUUCCAGCGCCAACAAAGCAUGUCUCCAACUCACUAUCCUAACGGCCUGAGCACCGAGAGGAAUCCCAUGCUGUCACAGGGAGAAUAUACAAACUCCUUACAGGCAGCAGUGGAAAUAGAACCCAGAUUAGUGAUCAGUGGUGCUGUAAAGCAAUUGCACGAACUGCUGUGCUACCAAGUCACCCUUUUGAAGUAUCUUGUGUACUAUGGGUGCACAACAUUGUGGUAUUAUGACGUACUAAGGAAAAGGUAAGAGAGAAAAUACACUGUACUACAUUAACCAGGUUUACCAGAGUCUUAUUUCCUGGUGCCAGAGUCUUUUUGCAGACUCAGUCGACUAUUUCCAGUCCGUCUGCAAAACAGGUUAUCCUUCCUCUUUUUUUCAGUCUCUCUUUUCUUCUCAAUGUGUCUGGGGUCCUGUUGGAGUCCGUGAUCUACAGAUUUAGCUCAGACUAUGGUUUUCUACGCGCAGUGAAUUCCUGUUUUCGGACUCGCCGUGUGGCCUGGUGUUUCGAUAUCUCCAGGUGUGGCCUGGAAGAGGUGUGCCUUUGGGUGUAGCCCUGUGGACAGCCUGAAGGCCCCUGCACUCGAUCCCUCUCUUUCUCUUGAUGGUGAGUAAAGGUCAGUCAGUCCUCGAGUCGGGGAGCUCAGACAAGCAACAUGGCAGAUUGUAACAUCGAAACAGUGAGCUGUUCGUCUCCCCUCUUUUUGUUGCAGGAGCAAUAACUCUCUGCCACUUGCUAGUGAGAGGGAGAAACUGUCUGAGAUUUUGAAGUGUUGGGAUGGACAGUAGUUUUGAUGGACUCCAGAUUGUG
RNA transcript from Mobula hypostoma (lesser devil ray), 1394 nucleotides. It is a transcript of the gene named interferon-induced GTP-binding protein Mx-like, with no coding region annotated. The record is from RefSeq and is a predicted model, not a curated record. The transcript is spliced from 3 exons. NCBI's taxonomy places the organism in Eukaryota, Metazoa, Chordata, Chondrichthyes, Myliobatiformes, Myliobatidae.